UAAUUCUGCAGUCACUUAUUGAAGUGCUGCGUUUUGGCCCUGCAAAACGAAAUGUUUUGAUUGGCUCCCAGCCAAUAAAACAGUAACAUGGCCAAUCAUCUCAAAUUUUCUGAGUUUUCAAAACCCUAGGGUUUAAGCAUGGUUUGGCAACUUAUCUUCAAGCAAAUCCAACAAAACAAAAUCAACUAACAGCAGCAUGCAACAUAACAAUCAUACAAUAAUCAAGCAUCUACGACCCAACACAACAAACAUGCAAGUUCUG
Molecule: long non-coding RNA, 262 nt
Filed under: Lathyrus oleraceus (garden pea)
Lineage: Eukaryota; Viridiplantae; Streptophyta; Magnoliopsida; Fabales; Fabaceae
Description: Pisum sativum (pea) long non-coding RNA (PSAT_LNC006175)
Source: RNAcentral